RNAcentral lists this ribosomal RNA (460 nucleotides) under uncultured bacterium. RNAcentral's name for it is "partial 16S ribosomal RNA". It matches the Rfam family "Bacterial small subunit ribosomal RNA", at positions 338 to 795 of the family's 1533-position model. The record is from RNAcentral.
CCUACGGGUGGCAGCAGUGAGGAAUAUUGGUCAAUGGGCUUACGCCUGAACCAGCCAAGUCGCGUGAGGGAAGACUGCCCUAUGGGUUGUAAACCUCUUUUGUCAGGGAGCAACGCCGGCUACGUGUAGCCGGACUGAGAGUACCUGAAGAAACAGCAUCGGCUAACUCCGUGCCAGCAGCCGCGGUAAUACGGAGGAUGCGCGCGUUAUCCGGAUUUAUUGGGUUUAAAGUGUGCGUAGGCGGAAUGCAAAGGAAGCGGUAAAAUCGCGGGGCUCAACCUCGCUCCGUUGUUGAAACGGGCGUUCUUGAGUGGGCGAGAAGUAUGCGGAAUGCGUGGUGUAGCGGUGAAAUGCAGAGAUAUCACGAAGAACUCCGAUUGCGAAGGCAGCAUACCGGCGCUCAACUGACGCUCAUGCACGAAAGUGUGGGUAUCGAACAGGAUUAGAUACCCCGGUAGUC